Molecule: ribosomal RNA, 492 nt
Filed under: uncultured bacterium
Lineage: Bacteria
Description: partial 16S ribosomal RNA
Rfam family: Bacterial small subunit ribosomal RNA
Source: RNAcentral
AGUGAACGCUGGCGGCAGGCUUAACACAUGCAAGUCGAACGGCAGCACACUAAUUGCUUCCUCUUACGGGUGGCGCGUGGCGGACGGGUGAGGAAGACAUCGGAAUCUACUUUUUCUUGGGGGAUAACGUAAAGAAAGUUACACUAAUACCGCAUACGACCUACGGGUGAAAGCAGCGGAUCUUCGGACCUUGUGCGAUUGAAUUAGCCGAUGUCGGAUUAUCGAGUUGGCGGGGUAAAGGUCCGCCAAGGCGACGAUCCGUAGAUGGUCGGCGAGGAGGGUGAGCCACCAUAGAGGUGAGACACGCUCGAGAAGACUACGGGAGGCAGCAGUGGGGAAUAUUGGACAAUAGGGGGAAGCAUGAUGAAGCAAUACCGCGUGGGUGGAGAUGGCGUUCGGCUUGUAAAGAACUUUUGUUGGGAGUGAAGAGCAGCAGGUUAAUACCCCGCUGUUCUGACGGUACCCAAAGAAUAAGCACCGGCUAACUUCGUG